Molecule: ribosomal RNA, 427 nt
Filed under: uncultured Luteimonas sp.
Lineage: Bacteria; Pseudomonadati; Pseudomonadota; Gammaproteobacteria; Lysobacterales; Lysobacteraceae
Description: bacterial SSU rRNA
Rfam family: Bacterial small subunit ribosomal RNA
Source: RNAcentral
UGGGGAAUAUUGGACAAUGGGCGCAAGCCUGAUCCAGCCAUGCCGCGUGAGUGAAGAAGGCCUUCGGGUUGUAAAGCUCUUUUGUCCGGAAAGAAAAGCUUUCGGUUAAUACCCGGAAGUCCUGACGGUACCGGAAGAAUAAGCACCGGCUAACUUCGUGCCAGCAGCCGCGGUAAUACGAAGGGUGCAAGCGUUACUCGGAAUUACUGGGCGUAAAGCGUGCGUAGGUGGUUCGUUAAGUCUGAUGUGAAAGCCCUGGGCUCAACCUGGGAAUGGCACUGGAUACUGGCGGGCUAGAGUGCGGUAGAGGAUGGCGGAAUUCCCGGUGUAGCAGUGAAAUGCGUAGAGAUCGGGAGGAACAUCCGUGGCGAAGGCGGCCAUCUGGACCAGCACUGACACUGAGGCACGAAAGCGUGGGGAGCAAACA